Non-coding RNA from Solanum lycopersicum (tomato), 3392 nucleotides. NCBI's taxonomy places the organism in Eukaryota, Viridiplantae, Streptophyta, Magnoliopsida, Solanales, Solanaceae. The record is from RefSeq and is a predicted model, not a curated record.
CUCACUUCACUGCACGGAACUCAAACGGAGAUAGAAGAUCCAAUGAGGAGACUUCUGUUACUAGUAUGUUGAUACAAGUUAAGUUUGUACAAUUUUCAUUUCUUUUCUUUUAUGUUUUUGGCUAAUUUACACUUUGAUUCUAUGACAGGAAUGUGGUAGACUAUGCAAAUUCUUGGGGGCAGAUUUCCUUCCUUAUCUGAGACUUGUCAUGCCCAUUGCGUUAAAAUCUGCUUUGCUAAAGAACUGUUUGAGUGUUUCCGAUAAUUCAGAUACAGAUGAUUCUGAUUAUAAAAGGUUGGAUCUUUUACCAUAACAACUCGUAUGAAGUUUUAUUUAGAUGGAUGACAUAUGUAUUAGUAUUAUCACUAUUUUAAUGAUGUAGAUGGUUGUGAGUUUUCGUACAAUUGAAUUUCAUUUCAUGUAUUAAGAGUUCCAUACAUGCUCUACCAUAUGAACCUACUAUGUCGAAUUAGAAUGUAAAUAAAGUGAAUCUGUUAAGUGACUUUUGUGUAUCUGCCUGUUUAUUUAGAGACAGCAUCUCUGAGUCAAAGGAAAACAUCUGUUUUUUCCGCGCACUUAAAUAACACAGUUUGAUUCGGUAAAUUUCUAUUACCAACCUUUAGUUGCAGUCUCCCCAAAACAGCCUCUCUACCUUCCAAGGUAAGGGUAAAGUCUGUGUAGGCACUACUCUCUCCAGACCCAACUUGUGGGGAUUACACUUGGUAUAUUGUGUUGUUGUUUUAACCCGAAAUUGCAGGAAAGAAGUGAAAUAAGCAACUUUAAUGGAAUAAGUUUUUUGAGGAUGUCUUCAGCUGACAUAAAUAUCUUCUGUAGCAUGAUUAAAGCCACUGAUGGGAAUAAAAUGAUCGGGAUAAGAGCUGUACUUCUGGAAGAGAAGGCCUUGGCCUGUCAUAUGCUAUGCUUCUUUUCAAAUGAGUUAAAGGAAGGGCUGCAUUUAUGGGUUAAUGAGGUCUGUCUAGAAAAUUACAGGUCAUAGCUAAUCUCAUUUACAAGGCUUACAAAGUAGCAUGCUGAUUUUUACUUAAUUUGUGGUUUAUGCAGGUUGUUAGUGCUUUAGUUCCGAAUCUUACCUAUAAAUUCAGUGAAGAAGUUAGAAUGGCUGCCGUUUCUGGUAAAUUUUCUACAUGUGUCUUCAUCUUAUCAUUCAUUUCCGCAUUAUAAACCAAACCCGAUUGUUUGCUAAAUUGCAUUUAUUCCUUUUUAUAGCAAUGCCGUUACUGUUAAAUUCAGCUUCUUGUGCUAUGAAGAAAGGGCUACUUGUAACAGGUUGUGGCAAGUCCCCAGUUCAAAAGCUAUCUGACACUAUUAUCUCGUCUUUGCUUGAUGCAUUAAAAAAGGUAAUUUACCUAGUGUUGCAGCAAAAGUUUAAUCAAUAUUAAUACGAUCCUUAGGUAGUUGUACUUUUCCUUUAGGAGUCAAAGGUACAAAUUCAAGCAAGAUUAUUGGAGGCGUUCAACAAAAGCAUUCAGGUAAAUAACUCUCUUGUCUUCUGUAUAGCUUAUUUGUCUGUGCACUAAGAAGUACUUAUCACAGGUUCCGGGUUCAUGUCUAAGUAAAAACCAAGCUGCAAAAUUUGUUGAUGGCAUAUCAAAGGUUCUCUCCAGAUGCUCAUACCGCAAAACAGAAAGAGAGAAACGAGCUAAAGAACACACAGGUUCAAGGGAGCAGGAGCUACUUAAGGAAGAAGCUGAGCAACACUUAACUAUAUGUAGAAAUGUUAGCGUUUUACAACAUAGCCUCUAAUAUAUAUAUAUAUACACUUAACAGGACCUUAGACUUACCUUCAUCGGUUUCUUUGUUUUCCUGAAUUCAGAUUGGCAUUUGCCUCGGAACUAUGGUGAAAAAACUAAAGGCAUCAUUCUUGCCAAAUUUUGACAAGUUUUUGCCUUAUGUAUCACUUAUGUAGGUAAGCCACUCUCUCUUUUGAUGUACUAUAUGUAUAAUUCAAUUCAUGACACCUCUUACUGAAGCAUCAAAAGUGAUUAAAUUGAUAUCAACUGCUCGUUAAGCCAGUCUCUCGAGAAAUUCUAUGGGGAACUUCUAUGGUUUCUUUGACCUUAGACAUUUCCUUUUCACCUCUCUACGUACUUCUGUACAGAGUAAUGAUAGAACAGCAGAAGAAAGAAGAAUUGUAGUGCACCUUUUCCGUGAUGUUGCUGAGCAGUGCCGAGAAGAAGCAUUCAGGCACGUCUUGCAAUUUUCAGUGUCUUAUUGAUCAUGAUAAGUUCAGUUGGCUUAGCUGAACGUCUUCUUUAUUUAUCAGGUACUAUGAGGACUGGAUACCUCUCCUUCUUAGAAUUUACAAUCACAAGAAUCCAGAUGUUCAGCAGGUUUUCUAUUUAUUCCUUCUUUUACUAUUUGUUUCCCAAGUAAGUCUUUGGUAUAUCCUUCAAACCUGACGUUCUCUAUCUUUUCAGCUCGUGGCAACUGCAAUUGGUAUUUGUGCUGAAUUCGGAGCAGAUUUCCUUAAGCCUCAUACUAAAGGUAGCUUUGUGCGUUACACUAUGCUUAAGGUAUCUAUUUUCUCCACUAGCAGCAUCUGACUUAGCUGCUUAAUGGUGUUUCCAGGAAUACUCGGUCAUUUAAAAACUGCAAUGGAGAAUCCUAAUGCAACACACCCCGAUAACAUCAUGGCUUACGAGGCUGCUGUUUCUACCUGUGGGAAGUUAAACCAGUUUGUCUCAGAAGGCAUCUCCUAUGAGUACAUCCUGCUCUGGCUUAACCACUUACCAAUAACAUGUGAUCUUGAUGAGGCUAAAAUCAGUCACGAACUGCUUUGUUCAAUGAUGGAGACGUAAGUAUUUCCCGUAGGCUACAGCAAUAAGUAAUCAAUAACUAAUCAGAACUUCAACAUACCUUAUGCAUGCUUGCAACUGUAUCUUGAUCUUUCAGGUCAGAGCAGAAAGUUAUUGGCCCUAACGGAUCUUAUAUACCGAUUAUAAUAGCAAUUUUUGCUGAGGUAGUACCCUUCAUCUUACAUGCACCAAAGAUUUCCUCCAUUUUAUAAGCUUAUCUUCAUUUCUGUUUUCCUCCAGGUUUUAUGGGCAGGGAACAAUUUGGCCACAGAAGAAACUAGGACGCGAAUUAUCAAUCUAUUGAAGAAGUUCAAAAGAGAAGUGGAGCCUCUUGUGUUGUCCAAAAUAUUUCAAACAUUACCUUUAACACAUCAAAACAUGUUACGCAUUGUCUUAUAAACUGUUUGUGCAUUCUUUGAGUAGAUAGAUACAUGUACAGAACGAAAAUAGCUAACUGUAAUACUCGCAGACUCAUACUUGUUGAGUGAGAAAGAUUACUGUAAAGAGUGUGAUUGUAUACAUUGUAAAGCUACUGACUUGCUUAACAUCAUCAAGGCAAACUUCAAAGUUACAUAA